RNAcentral lists this unclassified non-coding RNA (1764 nucleotides) under Hevea brasiliensis (rubber tree). Lineage: Eukaryota; Viridiplantae; Streptophyta; Magnoliopsida; Malpighiales; Euphorbiaceae. The record is from RNAcentral.
AGCUCCUUUGAUGUACUUGAGAAUACGAAUAACUGCAUCCCAAUGGCUACUGCAUGGUACUUGGAGAAACUGACUAACCACACUCACAGCAAAAGAAAUGCUAGGUCAUGAGAUUACAAGAUAGUUGAGUUUAUCAACUAGUCUUCUACUCUUUCAGGAUUUUUUAAUGGCUCCCUUUGUCUAGGAACAAGUUUGACAUUCGGGUUCGUGGGAGUGUCUACAUGUCUACAAUCUAGCAUCCCAGUCUCCUCCAAUAUAUUCAAAGCAUAUUCCUUUGAGAAAUAGCAAUAUCUGACUUUGAUUGUGCCAAUUCUAUUCCCAAAAACUAUUUCAACUUCCCCAAGUCCUUAGUCUAAAAGUUACUAAACAAAUGCUGUUUGAGUUGGGAAAUUCCAUCAUUAUCAUUUCCUGUGAUGAUAAUAUCAUUAACAUAGACCACCAAAAAAAUGCAUUUGCCAUGACCAUCAUGUUGGAAAAAUACUCAAUGACCAGUUUGACUCUGAGUCACUCCAAACUAUUUAACCAUAGCAUUAAACCGACCAAACCAUGCUCUUGGAGACUUCUUAAGACCAUACAGAGACCCUUUAAGAUGACAUACCAAGUCGGACUCCCCCUAAUCAAUAAAUCCUAUUGGUUGCUCCAUGCAUACUUCUUCAGCUAGUUCGAUAUGUAAGAAAGCAUUCUUAAUGUCUAACUGAUGAAGAGUUCAGUUUUGAAUUGCAGUUAAGGAAAUGAGAAGACGAACAAAAGCAAUCUUGGCUAUUGGAGAGAAGGUAUCACUGUAAUCAAGCCCAUAUAUCUAUGUGUACCCUUUAGCAACUAACCAAGCUUUAAGCCUGUCAAUUUUGCUAUCAGGUCCCACCUUCACUGUAUAGACCCAUCUACAUCCAACAGUAGAUUUUCCCUGUGCUAGUGACACCAAAUCCCAAGUUCCAUUAUUAUGGAGAGCAGUCAUCUUCUCAUCCAUUGUAGCAUACCAUCCUGAUUGAUCCAAUGCUUCUCUAACAGUCUUUGGAAUAGGUACAUUAGACACAUUAGAGAUAAAAGCAUAGUAGGAGGGAGACAAACGAUGAUCACUCAAAAAAUUAUAAAUUUGAUGAGGAUUACAGGAUGAUUUAAUGCCUUUUCGAAUGCCAAUAGGAGGAGUGGUUGUUUUUACUGGUGGCAUGACCGGUAUUGGUGAUGGUGGAACUGGAGAUCAAUCACCAGGAACUGCUUCUGUUCCUGUAUCAUAUGAAGCAGUAUUGUGAAUAUUAGCAGGAGGAUGAGGACGACGAGAGUAGACAUGAAGAGGAGGUGGAAUAGCAGGAACUAGCAAGGCAUUAGGAAUGGGAUUUUUGUCUGCUGUGUUGGAUAAAAAGUAAGAAAACGUUUCAAAGAAGGUUACAUCUACUAAGACAAAAUAUCUAUUUAUAGUUGGAUCAUAGCAUUUUUAUCCUUUUUAAAGACGAGAGUAUCCUAGAAAGACACACUUUACUGAUUUAGAUUGGAGUUUGUCUUUGCCAGAAGUGUGAUCAUGAAUAAAACAUACACAUCCAAACACACAUAGAGUCAAUUGAUAGGAAUUCUGGUUUGGAAAUAAGACUAAAUGAGGACUUUGAUGCUACAAAAUGGAAGAUGGCAUUCUGUUAAUCAAAUAACAAGCAAUAAGAACACCAUCCCCCCAAAAAUUUAGAGGAAUAUUAUGGUGUAUGAGUAAGGUUUGGGCAGUUUCAAUGAAAUGCUUAUUUUUCCGCUCAACAAUCCCAUUUUGUUGAGGGGUAU